This 272-nucleotide unclassified non-coding RNA is filed under the name plant metagenome. RNAcentral describes it as "partial contains small subunit ribosomal RNA, internal transcribed spacer 1, and 5.8S ribosomal RNA". The record is from RNAcentral.
UUUCCGUAGGUGAACCUGCGGAAGGAUCAUUAAUGAGUUGUCAUGGGGUUCGAUGCUGGCAGCCAGUUUUUGGAUGCAUGUGCUUGCCCUAACAAUCAUCUUCUUCCAAACACCUGUGCACAUUUUUGAGGGAUUCUUGAGUUGGUUGCCGCUCUUGGGUGAUUUUCUCACAUUCCCUUAAAUCAUUAUACGCUAUUAACAAUGUUGAACGUGCUCUGUGCCGCAAGGCCAUUAAUAUAAUACAACUUUUAACAACGGAUCUCUUGGCUCUC